This 253-nucleotide ribosomal RNA is filed under the name uncultured bacterium. RNAcentral describes it as "partial 16S ribosomal RNA". It matches the Rfam family "Bacterial small subunit ribosomal RNA", at positions 524 to 776 of the family's 1533-position model. The record is from RNAcentral.
UACGGAGGGGACUAGCGUUGUUCGGAAUUACUGGGCGUAAAGCGCACGUAGGCGGAUUUGUUAGUCAGGGGUGAAAUCCCGGGGCUCAACCUCGGAACUGCCUUUGAUACUGCAAGUCUUGAGUCCGGAAGAGGUGAGUGGAAUUCCUAGUGUAGAGGUGAAAUUCGUAGAUAUUAGGAGGAACACCAGUGGCGAAGGCGGCUCACUGGUCCGGUACUGACGCUGAGGUGCGAAAGCGUGGGGAGCAAACAGG